This 500-nucleotide long non-coding RNA is filed under the name Serinus canaria (Common canary). RNAcentral describes it as "lncRNA (ENSSCAG00000007092.1)". The record is from RNAcentral. Lineage: Eukaryota; Metazoa; Chordata; Aves; Passeriformes; Fringillidae.
GGAUUUGAAAGGAAAACUGAAGUGGUUUGGGGGUGAAUGGAUGGAUUCUGCAACAUGCAAGGGAGCUGGGGUUGGUCAGCAAAUGUCUGAGGGGGCAUCAAGCAGCUGAUGUGAAGAAAAGUGAAAAUAAUGUGAAGAAAAAGGGGGGAUUUGGGCUGAAGGAGAGAAUCAAAACAAAGAAUGGCUUUUUUUUCUCUCCUGCUGCAGGGAGAAGGUGGCUCAGUGGGUGCCCCGGGCCCUGCUGGUCCCAUGGGCGAGCCCGGCCAGCCGGGACCUGUGGGGUACCAAGGCAUCAACGGCUCUCAGGGGGAAUUGGGCCCUCCUGGGAUGGCCGGGCCCCGCGGCCCCAAGGGACCCCAGGGCUUGCAGGGCCGGCGUGGCCCCCCCGGCCCCAGGGGCUCUCAGGGUCCAGCAGGGCUGGAGGGAUCCUCUGGUCCCAAAGGAGACACAGGUACAGCUGGUGCCCCUGGGGUGAGGGGACAGCUGGGACAGCAGGGCCC